AUCACGCAGCCAUGUGGU
RNAcentral lists this small nuclear RNA (18 nucleotides) under Arabidopsis thaliana (thale cress). Its description in RNAcentral is "snRNA_09818". Lineage: Eukaryota; Viridiplantae; Streptophyta; Magnoliopsida; Brassicales; Brassicaceae. The record is from RNAcentral.